AUUGAACGCUGGCGGCAGGCCUAACACAUGCAAGUCGAACGAGUGGCGGACGGGUGAGUAAUGUCUGGGAAACUGCCCGAUGGAGGGGGAUAACUACUGGAAACGGUAGCUAAUACCGCAUACCAUCGGAUGUGCCCAGAUGGGAUUAGCUAGUAGGUGGGGUAACGGCUCACCUAGGCGACGAUCCCUAGCUGGUCUGAGAGGAUGACCAGCAACACGGGAACUGAGACACGGUCCAGACUCCUACGGGAGGCAGAAGGGGGGAAUAUUGCACAAUGGGCGCAAGCCUGAGACAGCCAGGCCGCGUGUAGGAAGAAGGCCUUGGGUUUGUAAAGUACUUUCAGCGGGGAGGCGUUACCCGCAGAAGAAGCACCGGCUAACUCCGUGCCAGCAGCCGCGGUAAUAC
Molecule: ribosomal RNA, 406 nt
Filed under: uncultured bacterium
Lineage: Bacteria
Description: partial 16S ribosomal RNA
Rfam family: Bacterial small subunit ribosomal RNA
Source: RNAcentral